This 253-nucleotide ribosomal RNA is filed under the name uncultured bacterium. Its description in RNAcentral is "partial 16S ribosomal RNA". It matches the Rfam family "Bacterial small subunit ribosomal RNA", at positions 524 to 776 of the family's 1533-position model. The record is from RNAcentral.
UACGUAGGGGGCAAGCGUUGUCCGGAAUCAUUGGGCGUAAAGAGCGUGUAGGCGGCCCGGUAAGUCCGCUGUGAAAGUCCAGGGCUCAACCCUGGGAUGCCGGUGGAUACUGUCGGGCUCGAGUCCGGAAGAGGAGAGUGGAAUUCCUGGUGUAGCGGUGAAAUGCGCAGAUAUCAGGAAGAACACCAAUGGCGAAGGCAGCUCUCUGGGACGGUACUGACGCUGAGACGCGAAAGCGUGGGGAGCGAACAGG